This 260-nucleotide ribosomal RNA is filed under the name uncultured bacterium. Its description in RNAcentral is "partial 16S ribosomal RNA". It matches the Rfam family "Bacterial small subunit ribosomal RNA", at positions 524 to 776 of the family's 1533-position model. The record is from RNAcentral.
UACGUAGGCAGCGAGCGUUUAAUCGGAAUUACUGGGCGUAAAGCGUGCGCAGGCGGUUCGUUGUGUCGGUGGUGAAAAGCCCCCGGGGCUUAACCUGGGGAAUGGCCAUGGAAACUGGCGAACUGGAGUGUGGCAGAGGGGGGUGGAAUUCCGCGUGUAGCAGUGAAAUGCGUAGAGAUGCGGAGGAACACCGAUGGCGAAGGCAGCCCCCCUGGGCUAGCACUGACGCUCAGGCACGAAAGCGUCGGGGAGCAAACAGG